AUCUACAGGCAUACCACCCUUAUCCCAGCAGCUAAGUAGGGUCGGGCCUGGCCAGUACUUGGAUGGGAGACUCCCUGGGAAUAUCAGUGCUGUAAGAUU
Molecule: ribosomal RNA, 99 nt
Organism: Cercocebus atys (sooty mangabey)
Lineage: Eukaryota; Metazoa; Chordata; Mammalia; Primates; Cercopithecidae
Source: Ensembl